This 406-nucleotide ribosomal RNA is filed under the name uncultured Glomus. RNAcentral's name for it is "SSU rRNA". It matches the Rfam family "Eukaryotic small subunit ribosomal RNA", at positions 569 to 978 of the family's 1831-position model. The record is from RNAcentral. Lineage: Eukaryota; Fungi; Glomeromycota; Glomeromycetes; Glomerales; Glomeraceae.
AGCAGCCGCGGUAAUUCCAGCUCCAAUAGCGUAUAUUAAAGUUGUUGCAGUUAAAAAGCUCGUAGUUGAAUUUCGGGAUCAAGGAAUCGGUCAUGCCUUGGUAUGUACUGGUUUUAUUGGUUCUCACCUUCUAAAGAACCAUAAUGUCAUUUAUUUGAUGUUAUGGGGAAUUAGGACUGUUACCUUGAAAAAAUUAGAGUAGUUUAAAGCAAGCUUACGCUUGAAUACAUUAGCAUGGAAUAAUGAAAUAGGACGUUCGAUCCUAUUUUGUUGGUUUUUAGGAUUCAACGUAAUGAUUAAUAGGGAUAGUUGGGGGCAUUAGUAUUCAAUUGUCAGAGGUGAAAUUCUUGGAUUUAUUGAAGACUAACUACUGCGAAAGCAUUUGCCAAGGAUGUUUUCAUUAAUC